UCUGACCUAUCAGCUUUCGACGGUAUGGUAUUGGCUUACCGUGGCAGUGACGGUUAACGGGGGAUUAGGGUUCGAUUCCGGAGAGGGAGCCUGAGAAACGGCUACCACAUCUAAGGAAGGCAGCAGGCGCGCAAAUUACCCAAUUCUAACAGUUUGAGAGAGGUAGUAACAAGAAAUAACAAUACAAGGCAGUUAAAAUGCUUUGUAAUUGGAAUGAUAGAAAUUUAAACCCUUUUUAAAGUAUCAAUUGGAGGGCAAGUCUGGUGCCAGCAGCCGCGGUAAUUCCAGCUCCAAUAGCGUAUAUUAAAAUUGUUGCAGUUAAAAAGCUCGUAGUUGAAGUUCUGCUGAAAGUAACCGGUCUGCUUUUAAUAAAAGUGGUAUCUUGGUAUGUAUUUAGCAAUGAUGUCCUUUGAAGUGUUUUUUACUUUAUUGUAAUAAAGCAUAUUCAGGACUUUUACUUUGAGAAAAUUAGAGUGUUUCUAGCAGGCUGACGCUUUGAAUACUGCAGCAUGGAAUAAUAAGAUA
Molecule: ribosomal RNA, 525 nt
Filed under: Hepatozoon sp.
Lineage: Eukaryota; Apicomplexa; Hepatozoidae
Description: SSU rRNA
Rfam family: Eukaryotic small subunit ribosomal RNA
Source: RNAcentral